Molecule: ribosomal RNA, 314 nt
Filed under: Pseudomonas aeruginosa
Lineage: Bacteria; Pseudomonadati; Pseudomonadota; Gammaproteobacteria; Pseudomonadales; Pseudomonadaceae
Description: partial 23S ribosomal RNA
Rfam family: Bacterial large subunit ribosomal RNA
Source: RNAcentral
CGGUCAAGCUAAAAAGGGCGCAAGGUGAAUGCCUUGGCACUGGGAGCCGAUGAAAGACGUGGUAAGCUGCGAAAAGCUUCGGGGAGGAGCAAACAUCCAUUGAUCCGGAGAUAUCUGAAUGGGGCAACCCAAUGGAGUUCAUACUCCAUUAUCCAAUACUGAAUCCAUAGGUAUUGGAAGGGAACCGCCUGAACUGAAACAUCUAAGUAGGGCGAGGAAGAGACAUCAAACGAGAUUCCGUAAGUAGUGGCGAGCGAACGCGGAAGAGGGCAAACCGAGAGUAGAAAUACUUUCGGGGUACGGAGCGCAUUUAG